GACGAACGCUGGCGGCGUGCUUAACACAUGCAAGUCGAGCGGUAAGGCCCUUUCGGGGGUACACGAGCGGCGAACGGGUGAGUAACACGUGGGUGACCUGCCCUCAGCUCUGGGAUAAGCCCGGGAAACUGGGUCUAAUACCGGAUAUGACUUCAUGACGCAUGUUGUGGAGUGGAAAGCCUUGUGCGGCUGAGGAUGGGCCCGCGGCCUAUCAGCUUGUUGGUGGGGUGAGGCCUACCAAGGCGACGACGGGUAGCCGGCCUGAGAGGGCGACCGGCCACACUGGGACUGAGAUACGGCCCAGACUCCUACGGGAGGCAGCAGUGGGGAAUCUUGCGCAAUGGGCGAAAGCCUGACGCAGCGACGCCGCGUGA
Molecule: ribosomal RNA, 374 nt
Filed under: uncultured bacterium
Lineage: Bacteria
Description: bacterial SSU rRNA
Rfam family: Bacterial small subunit ribosomal RNA
Source: RNAcentral